Molecule: ribosomal RNA, 148 nt
Filed under: Tanypteryx pryeri
Lineage: Eukaryota; Metazoa; Arthropoda; Insecta; Odonata; Petaluridae
Description: 5.8S rRNA
Rfam family: 5.8S ribosomal RNA
About the family: 5.8S ribosomal RNA (5.8S rRNA) is a component of the large subunit of the eukaryotic ribosome.
Source: RNAcentral
CGGUGGAUCACUCGGCUCGUGGAUCGAUGAAGAACGCAGCAAACUGCGCGUCGAAGUGUGAACUGCAGGACACAUGAACAUCGACGUUUCGAACGCACAUUGCGGCCCACGGAUUCUGUUCCCGGGCCACGGCUGGCUGAGGGCCGGC